RNAcentral lists this ribosomal RNA (1757 nucleotides) under Staphylococcus aureus VET1895R. RNAcentral describes it as "bacterial LSU rRNA". It matches the Rfam family "Bacterial large subunit ribosomal RNA", at positions 1164 to 2925 of the family's 2925-position model. The record is from RNAcentral. Lineage: Bacteria; Bacillati; Bacillota; Bacilli; Caryophanales; Staphylococcaceae.
CCGAAAAUGUACCGGGGCUAAACAUAUUACCGAAGCUGUGGAUUGUCCUUUGGACAAUGGUAGGAGAGCGUUCUAAGGGCGUUGAAGCAUGAUCGUAAGGACAUGUGGAGCGCUUAGAAGUGAGAAUGCCGGUGUGAGUAGCGAAAGACGGGUGAGAAUCCCGUCCACCGAUUGACUAAGGUUUCCAGAGGAAGGCUCGUCCGCUCUGGGUUAGUCGGGUCCUAAGCUGAGGCCGACAGGCGUAGGCGAUGGAUAACAGGUUGAUAUUCCUGUACCACCUAUAAUCGUUUUAAUCGAUGGGGGGACGCAGUAGGAUAGGCGAAGCGUGCGAUUGGAUUGCACGUCUAAGCAGUAAGGCUGAGUAUUAGGGAAAUCCGGUACUCAUUAAGGCUGAGCUGUGAUGGGGAGAAGACAUUGUGUCUUCGAGUCGUUGAUUUCACACUGCCGAGAAAAGCCUCUAGAUAGAAAAUAGGUGCCCGUACCGCAAACCGACACAGGUAGUCAAGAUGAGAAUUCUAAGGUGAGCGAGCGAACUCUCGUUAAGGAACUCGGCAAAAUGACCCCGUAACUUCGGGAGAAGGGGUGCUCUUUAGGGUUAACGCCCAGAAGAGCCGCAGUGAAUAGGCCCAAGCGACUGUUUAUCAAAAACACAGGUCUCUGCUAAACCGUAAGGUGAUGUAUAGGGGCUGACGCCUGCCCGGUGCUGGAAGGUUAAGAGGAGUGGUUAGCUUCUGCGAAGCUACGAAUCGAAGCCCCAGUAAACGGCGGCCGUAACUAUAACGGUCCUAAGGUAGCGAAAUUCCUUGUCGGGUAAGUUCCGACCCGCACGAAAGGCGUAACGAUUUGGGCACUGUCUCAACGAGAGACUCGGUGAAAUCAUAGUACCUGUGAAGAUGCAGGUUACCCGCGACAGGACGGAAAGACCCCGUGGAGCUUUACUGUAGCCUGAUAUUGAAAUUCGGCACAGCUUGUACAGGAUAGGUAGGAGCCUUUGAAACGUGAGCGCUAGCUUACGUGGAGGCGCUGGUGGGAUACUACCCUAGCUGUGUUGGCUUUCUAACCCGCACCACUUAUCGUGGUGGGAGACAGUGUCAGGCGGGCAGUUUGACUGGGGCGGUCGCCUCCUAAAAGGUAACGGAGGCGCUCAAAGGUUCCCUCAGAAUGGUUGGAAAUCAUUCAUAGAGUGUAAAGGCAUAAGGGAGCUUGACUGCGAGACCUACAAGUCGAGCAGGGUCGAAAGACGGACUUAGUGAUCCGGUGGUUCCGCAUGGAAGGGCCAUCGCUCAACGGAUAAAAGCUACCCCGGGGAUAACAGGCUUAUCUCCCCCAAGAGUUCACAUCGACGGGGAGGUUUGGCACCUCGAUGUCGGCUCAUCGCAUCCUGGGGCUGUAGUCGGUCCCAAGGGUUGGGCUGUUCGCCCAUUAAAGCGGUACGCGAGCUGGGUUCAGAACGUCGUGAGACAGUUCGGUCCCUAUCCGUCGUGGGCGUAGGAAAUUUGAGAGGAGCUGUCCUUAGUACGAGAGGACCGGGAUGGACAUACCUCUGGUGUACCAGUUGUCGUGCCAACGGCAUAGCUGGGUAGCUAUGUGUGGACGGGAUAAGUGCUGAAAGCAUCUAAGCAUGAAGCCCCCCUCAAGAUGAGAUUUCCCAACUUCGGUUAUAAGAUCCCUCAAAGAUGAUGAGGUUAAUAGGUUCGAGGUGGAAGCAUGGUGACAUGUGGAGCUGACGAAUACUAAUCGAUCGAAGACUUAAUCAA